AUUGAACGCUGGCGGCAUGCCUUACACAUGCAAGUCGAACGGCAGCGCGGGGCAACCUGGCGGCGAGUGGCGAACGGGUGAGUAAUAUAUCGGAACGUACCCUGGAGUGGGGGAUAACGUAGCGAAAGUUACGCUAAUACCGCAUACGAUCUAAGGAUGAAAGUGGGGGAUCGCAAGACCUCAUGCUCCUGGAGCGGCCGAUAUCUGAUUAGCUAGUUGGUGGGGUAAAGGCCUACCAAGGCAUCGAUCAGUAGCUGGUCUGAGAGGACGACCAGCCACACUGGGACUGAGACACGGCCCAGACUCCUACGGAGGCAGCAGUGGGGAAUUUUGGGACAAUGGGCGCAAGCCUGAUCCAGCCAUGCCGCGUGCGGAAGAAGG
Molecule: ribosomal RNA, 381 nt
Filed under: uncultured bacterium
Lineage: Bacteria
Description: bacterial SSU rRNA
Rfam family: Bacterial small subunit ribosomal RNA
Source: RNAcentral